RNAcentral lists this long non-coding RNA (994 nucleotides) under Anas platyrhynchos platyrhynchos (common mallard). Its description in RNAcentral is "lncRNA (ENSAPLG00000017023.1)". The record is from RNAcentral. Lineage: Eukaryota; Metazoa; Chordata; Aves; Anseriformes; Anatidae.
UUCCAACCUCAGGUUAUAACUUAUGGCAGGUGCACUUAGGCGGGGUGUGACACUCCCAAGGCUGCUACACACCCGCCUCAGCUGCAGACGGCUUCCUGGGUAUGGUGCUAAGCUCUGACAGUGCUGAGCUCCUUCAACAUAAGGAGUUCAACCAGCUGCCAAACUGCACUGAAAUGUGCCGCACCCAAUGAUGUAAUGAUGGACUAAAGAAAUGGCCACCCCUUCAACAUGGGAGAAUAUCUUUGCUAAUGUGGCAAUAAAGAUGUUUGGACAGAGAUGCUGCUGUUCUCCUAAAGCAAAGUCCUUGGUUUUAUGACUGUGGACCUGACAACUCUGAACAAAUGCUGGGGAGGAUUAUACUUGUGUGAAACAUCUAAGUAUGACACUGUAAAUGUGCUGUAGGACUCUUGCACAUGCAUAUGCAGCAGUAACAAAAGAUUAUGGUAAAUGUAGAUUGGAUGCUACAAAGAAGCAACAGAAAAUUCUUUCAUGUUACUAAGAACUGGGGAUACAGAGUAUGCUGUUCUUCACCUGUGCACUUGUACAAUAGAACUGAGGCCAGGCAAAGCUGCGGAAUUAAGUUAUAUUGCCUAUUUGGAGGUAAAAGAUCCAAAAUAUGAGAGCAUGUGUGCUGGUAGACCUUGUGGAUCUCACACAUUGACACGUGUGCAAAUGCCUAGGGGCCACAGCACAUUUCCUGCCAAGCCCAAGGAGCCUGGGUGCUAGUUUUGCUGGGUCCUUGAAAGGCAUCCCCUGUCAGGCUUAGUCCAAAGCUGCUCCUGUAAGACCCAGGUGGCAGCGAGACAGUUUUGUCCGGGCAGGCUCUUCGCCUAUCACACCUGCACCGCAGCUGUUAUUGCUGGACUCUAUGUUGGCUAUAGAUCCGCCAAAUUAAAAAUGGGACAUUUUAUCCCUGUUCCAAGGAGACUGAAGACUUCAACUACCAGAACUGAAUGCCAAUAAAUACUAUACAGUGAAAGAAAGUGAUUUUUUU